GUCCACGCCGUAAACUAUGGAAGCUAGCCGUCAGUCAGCUUGCUGAGUGGUGGCGCAGCUAACGCAUUAAGCUUCCCGCCUGGGGAGUACGGUCGCAAGAUUAAAACUCAAAGGAAUUGACGGGGGCCUGCACAAGCGGUGGAGCAUGUGGUUUAAUUCGAUGAUACGCGAGGAACCUUACCUGGGCUAGAAUGUGAGAGGAAGUGAUAUGAAAGUUGAUCGCCCGCAAGGGGCUUCUUACAAGGUGCUGCAUGGCUGUCGU
Molecule: ribosomal RNA, 262 nt
Filed under: uncultured bacterium
Lineage: Bacteria
Description: partial 16S ribosomal RNA
Rfam family: Bacterial small subunit ribosomal RNA
Source: RNAcentral